AUUGAACGCUGGCGGCAUGCUUUACACAUGCAAGUCGAACGGUAACAGCACUUCGGUGGCUGACGAGUGGCGAACGGGUGAGUAAUACAUCGGAACGUGCCUAGUAGUGGGGGAUAACUACUCGAAAGAGUAGCUAAUACCGCAUGAGAUCUAAGGAUGAAAGCAGGGGACCUUCGGGCCUUGCGCUACUAGAGCGGCUGAUGGCAGAUUAGGUAGUUGGUGGGAUAAAAGCUUACCAAGCCGACGAUCUGUAGCUGGUCUGAGAGGACGACCAGCCACACUGGGACUGAGACACGGCCAGACUCCUACGGGAGGCAGCAGUGGGGAAUUUUGGACAAUGGGCGCAAGCCUGAUCCAGCAAUGCCGCGUGCAGGAUGAAGGCCUUCGGGUUGUAAACUGCUUUUGUACGGAACGAAAAGCCCUCUUCUAAUACAGGAGGGUCAUGACGGUACCGUAAGAAUAAGCACCGGCUAACUACGUG
Molecule: ribosomal RNA, 481 nt
Filed under: uncultured bacterium
Lineage: Bacteria
Description: partial 16S ribosomal RNA
Rfam family: Bacterial small subunit ribosomal RNA
Source: RNAcentral